This is a long non-coding RNA of Amaranthus tricolor (Joseph's coat), 2146 nucleotides long. RefSeq lists it as uncharacterized. The record is from RefSeq and is a predicted model, not a curated record. Lineage: Eukaryota; Viridiplantae; Streptophyta; Magnoliopsida; Caryophyllales; Amaranthaceae. The transcript is spliced from 3 exons.
UUUGCACAACUAUUUACUCAUCUCUUUCAUUUGCCAUUUCUAAACUCCAUUUUUUUUUCUCUUUCUAACCAUUCAAAAAUUCUCUCUUAGUAUCUAAGACUUUUAUGUAGUUUUACUGGUUUUUUCAAGUCAGAUUGAAAAAAUUAUAUAAGUUUAUCUUUCAAUUUUAAUAAUAUCACCGGUAUUUUUCUUCUCUAAAAAUGUCUUAAUUGAUUUGUCUAGAUAAAUCUUAUAAAAAACUAAGUCGAUUUAUUAAUUUUUAUGUAGAAAAUUAUUUUUUGUAGUAGAUUUUUGAUAAAUUAGUUUAACAUGUGAUAAUAUGAGUCAAUCCUUUAUAUUUUAUAACAUUCAAUCUAGUUAAUUUUAAACGAUUUAGAAAAUACUAAACGAUUUUAUCCUUUGAUUUUUAUAGAAUUUUUUUUUGUUUUGUUUGAAAAUUUUUAUUUGAUUUCUGUAGAUUUUUCAUAUGAAAAAAUAGAUCGAUUUAUCAUUUCUUUAAGUUGAAAAAAAAAUUUUUAGUGAUUAUUUUUUUUUCUAAAAUUGGUUUGUUUAUGAUACGAUGAAUCGACUUUUCAAUAUUUAAAAGGGUUUUCAUAUAAUAUUAGGAGAAAUUUCACAAUUGGUUUCUGGUUUAUCUACUCCUCUAAAUAAAAUCAGGUAUCCCUCUUUCAUAUAUAUGAUAAUACUUACAAUUUUUUUUAUAGAUGUUUAUACUUUUUUAACAUGUAGUUAACUGGAUUAUAAUUUGACCUACAGUUUUGUCCAUGUUUGAUUUUGAAUGAGUUAACAAAAUUGUUAAAAUAAUUUCUAGAUUAUCAUUCAACUAAUCAGCUAAUUUUUUGGGUUAAUGUUUUUAAAAAUUAUAUGACCUUUAAAAGGUAGAACAUAAUUUGGUUCAUAAAUUAAUACUAUAUGUGUACAGUAAUUAUGCAUGUUUUAUUUUGAGUAAUUUAACAUAGUUAUUAAGCAAAUUUCCAGAUCGAUCUAUUAUUUAAACUGAGUGAUAUUUUUUUGGUUAACUCUAAUAAAUAAUAAAUAAUAUGACGCUUGGAAAAAGUAAAUCUGUUUGUUCAUAUCAAUAUGUAAUAAUCUUCUAACUAUUUUCCGAUUAUAAAUUAUAAUUUUGUUGUACUUUAAGUGUGUAUAUACAUGAAAAAAAUAAACUACUCGGUAUUUAUUAAAAAAUGUCUUCAAUUUUCCUUUAAAAAUAACUUUAAUAAAAUUGUUUUAUACAAUUAUUACUUGAAAAAAAAAACAAUAUGAAAAACAUAUCUAUUAUUAUACAUUAUGUUCUUUGGUCUAGAUGUUUAAAAAGACUGUUUGAUGUAAAUUAACAUGUUAAACAAUUACCUUUAUUGUUUAAUGAUGAAUGCAUUUUAUUUAUACAUUUGAUAAUAGAACUAACUGUUGAUCUGUUCAAUUUUUAUACAUGAAAAAUUAAUUCAUGCUGUUAACAAUGUGGGGGCGUUUGUUAAAGAUAUGUACACAAAGCUUGGAAUCACUUGGUUCUUACAGAAUCAAAUGAAGAUGGAGCUUGAUCUUAUCACUUCUUAAGCCAAUAAUCAUCAACUUUUAAAAAGUCAAGUAUUAUCUUUUGGAGCUUGGAUAUCAUUUUCUUUUGGGUAAUUGAAGAUCUACUUCUUUGAAGCUUGGAACCUUGAAGACUUUCUCUUUUGGAGCUUAUUUCCUUAAGUUCUUAUUAACCUAUUAUUAUUCUCUUACUUGGUUUAGCACCACCUUCGGAGGAAAAUGUAUUUUGCAGGAAAAUUUAGCUCAGGUUUCGAUCCAGGCCUCAACUUAAAUUAUUCUAUCGAGAACUUAGCUUCAAUGAUUUUACUUGAUGACUAUAUUGUACUUAUGUUUUUUUUUUUGUCGUAUUUAAUUAAACCUUAUUUUAUAUUUUCUCAGUUUAAGAUUUUUAUUUUUUUUACUUAUGUUUUGAACGAUUUUUUGUUCAAAUGGUUUUUAGGAGUUCGGUGUUUUACACUUCCGCAUUAUUUAUCUUAAGUAUAAUUAUUAAUGUUAUUUAUGUAUCGAGAGUGCCGCUCCUGCUACACCUGUAGUUUACAAUUUGCAUACAAUUCAGUGGUUUAGUUUUGUAUUUAAGAUUCUUAUAAAUUAAAGUUGUAAAUAUAACCUUUUGCAG